Molecule: ribosomal RNA, 253 nt
Filed under: uncultured Eubacteriales bacterium
Lineage: Bacteria; Bacillati; Bacillota; Clostridia; Eubacteriales
Description: uncultured Clostridiales bacterium partial 16S ribosomal RNA
Rfam family: Bacterial small subunit ribosomal RNA
Source: RNAcentral
UACGUAGGGGGCAAGCGUUAUCCGGAUUUACUGGGUGUAAAGGGAGCGUAGGCGGCGCGUUAAGUCUGAUGUGAAAACCCGCGGCUCAACUGCGGGACUGCAUUGGAAACUGGCGGGCUUGAGUGCCGGAGAGGCAAGCGGAAUUCCUAGUGUAGCGGUGAAAUGCGUAGAUAUUAGGAGGAACACCAGUGGCGAAGGCGGCUGUCUGGUCUGCAACUGACGCUGAGGCUCGAAAGCAUGGGUAGCGAACAGG